ACGGGUGAGUAACGCGUGGGAAUCUACCGUGCCCUGCGGAAUAGCUCCGGGAAACUGGAAUUAAUACCGCAUACGCCCUACGGGGGAAAGAUUUAUCGGGGUAUGAUGAGCCCGCGUUGGAUUAGCUAGUUGGUGGGGUAAAGGCCUACCAAGGCGACGAUCCAUAGCUGGUCUGAGAGGAUGAUCAGCCACAUUGGGACUGAGACACGGCCCAAACUCCUACGGGAGGCAGCAGUGGGGAAUAUUGGACAAUGGGCGCAAGCCUGAUCCAGCCAUGCCGCGUGAGUGAUGAAGGCCUUAGGGUUGUAAAGCUCUUUCACCGGAGAAGAUAAUGACGGUAUUCGGAGAAGAAGCCCCGGCUAACUUCGUGCCAGCAGCCGCGGUAAUACGAAGGGGGCUAGCGUUGUUCGGAAUUACUGGGCGUAAAGCGCACGUAGGCGGAUAUUUAAGUCAGGGGUGAAAUCCCAGAGCUCAACUCUGGAACUGCCUUUGAUACUGGGUAUCUUGAGUAUGGAAGAGGUAAGUGGAAUUCCGAGUGUAGAGGUGAAAUUCGUAGA
Molecule: ribosomal RNA, 557 nt
Filed under: uncultured Rhizobium sp.
Lineage: Bacteria; Pseudomonadati; Pseudomonadota; Alphaproteobacteria; Hyphomicrobiales; Rhizobiaceae
Description: bacterial SSU rRNA
Rfam family: Bacterial small subunit ribosomal RNA
Source: RNAcentral